UCUCCUGGAAACGGGUGGUAAUGCCGGAUGUUCCACAUGAGCGCAUGCGAGUGUGGGAAAGGCUUUUUGCGGCAUGGGAUGGGGUCGCGUCCUAUCAGCUUGUUGGUGGGGUAACGGCCUACCAAGGCGUUGACGGGUAGCCGGCCUGAGAGGGCGACCGGCCACAUUGGGACUGAGAUACGGCCCAGACUCCUACGGGAGGCAGCAGUGGGGAAUAUUGCACAAUGGGCGCAAGCCUGAUGCAGCGACGCCGCGUGCGGGAUGGAGGCCUUCGGGUUGUAAACCGCUUUUGUUCAAGGGCAAGGCACGGUUUCGGCCGUGUUGAGUGGAUUGUUCGAAUAAGCACCGGCUAACUACGUGCCAGCAGCCGCGGUAAUACGUAGGGUGCAAGCGUUAUCCGGAUUUAUUGGGCGUAAAGGGUUCGUAGGCGGUUCGUCGCGUCCGGUGUGAAAGUCCAUCGCUUAACGGUGGAUCCGCGCCGGGUACGGGCGGGCUUGAGUGCGGUAGGGGAGACUGGAAUUCCCGGUGUAACGGUGGAAUGUGUAGAUAUCGGGAAGAACACCAA
RNAcentral lists this ribosomal RNA (565 nucleotides) under uncultured Bifidobacterium sp. RNAcentral's name for it is "bacterial SSU rRNA". It matches the Rfam family "Bacterial small subunit ribosomal RNA", at positions 146 to 712 of the family's 1533-position model. Lineage: Bacteria; Bacillati; Actinomycetota; Actinomycetes; Bifidobacteriales; Bifidobacteriaceae. The record is from RNAcentral.